Molecule: long non-coding RNA, 2568 nt
Organism: Prinia subflava (tawny-flanked prinia)
Lineage: Eukaryota; Metazoa; Chordata; Aves; Passeriformes; Cisticolidae
Exons: 4
Source: RefSeq, a predicted model, not a curated record
GAGACGUCCUUCCGCAGCCCCGCCGGGGCUCGGGGCGGCCCGCCGGCUCGGGCCCGGGCUGUGCGCCGCUGUGAGCAGCGCUGUGCGGCCGUGGGGUGCUGACCGCGGCUCCCCCGCCGGCACAGCUCCGGCAGGUCCAGCCUCUCCGGGGAUUGCCCUUGCGGCUGGGGGCGAGAUGGUCAACCCACUACAAUGUCAAAUGCAGAAGUAAGAGAAGCCCUUUUCUGCCCUUUGAUGGAUAGCAUCUCUGCACACCGGAAAAGAUUGCACUGGCCUUCUUGGCAACACGAUUUCAGAGGGCUCUGGGGCUCAGCUGGGGCUCUAUCAGGACCCACAAUUCAUUCUUCAGUCUCAGCUUCCCAAACAAUUCUUAUGUGAGGCUGUGACACUGGCAGACUUCCAGAAUAAGCCAAUUUCAGAAGAGUGGAGCCUCCAAAUAUGAUCUUCUGUCAGUCACAGAGAUUUCAGCUCCAGGGGAGGAAAGAUUCAUCUAGCAGCUUAUAAUCACUACUGCACAGAUGGUGAAAGAGGUGCUACAAUAGCAACUCCCAACCUGUGCUGAAACAAUCAAAAUGCUUCAGAGUUUCCAGAGCUAUCCCCAUUCUGGGCUUUCACAGAGAGAAAUCAGCAGUGAGGCUGACAGUCACCCCAGAUUUUUGGGCUCUUCCUGCAGGACAGACCGGCCGUCUCCAGAGCAGUUCCUGGCAGAUGAUCUGCUCUCUCCAGCCCAUUGUAGGGUGACAGAUUUCCACGGCUCAGCCUGGACAGUGUGCUGAGGUAUGUGAAGGCUUCAGCUUGCAAAGCCAUGGUCAGAGGGAAAGUUUAUAACCAAGGUGUUAUAUAACCCAAGCUCCCCUGGGGUUUUCAUCUCCAUAGGACCCAGUGCCAGCUGCAGAAAGAGGGGAUUUUGGGAAAAGGUUAGUUGUAAAUUACCGAGGGGAGUUCCUCAACAUCAGAUUUGGGACCCAGAACCAGAAUGUCUGCAUGAAAUCAAAUCACCCAGAUAUACUGGCUAGCUGUGAUAAUAAAUAGACCUGAAUGUAUUCAAAACAACUAAAAGACUGUUGUUAUUUAGGUAGAGUGAUCUUCACAGCCUUUUUCUAACCUGACUAAUCAACUCCCCAAGUUUCUUUCUACAAAAUCAUAUAAAGGAGUAUACUGUGUCUAUAACAAACCUGAGUCAUUUGGGUGGUCCUGAUAAUGAGAUACUUCAUUAGAUAUGAGCUUUAGUUUUGGUGCAUUCUGUGGCUCCUGCCAACACCUUAAGAAGAUUACCAUUUUUGGUAAGGACUGAAAACAUUAAAGGAAAACUGAAAAGAGAGCAAGUUCUUUCAAGAGAAUAAAGCUGAUGCUGUGGGCAAUUGGAAUGGACUACAUCAGCUUUCAGAGAUUAAAGAGAAAAACUGCAAAGAAGAUUUACCAGUUGAAACUCUUUGUCAUUAGAGAUCCCCAUUUUUACCAUCAAAAUAAAAUUAAUUUAAAAAAUGAAGCUUUGUGUGCGUUUGCUUAGGACUAAGAACAAGCAACCAUUCCUCCACCUACUGCUCAGCUGCUGCUUUAUAUAAUGAAUGACUACUCAUUUUUAACAUUUUUGGUAUCUUACCUAAAUAAAAAAAAAUGAAAGGGCAAUAUUCAUUCAAAGAAACAGCUGCCCAUCUUGAUACCUGUAAUUGUCUGUUAAUAUUAUGGGCAAAAAUGUAAUAGUCAGGCAGUCAGUAGUUCCUUAUUACAAUUAUGAGCAAAGUUAAUUGACUUUGUGAUGUUAAGGUUGACUAACUGUGUUAGUCAAGGGAAACACUGUUUUUUGUUGUUUAUAACCUUAUCAGACUCCAACAAACUGAAUUGAAAUACCCCUGCCAGACAUCUGUCUCAGCCUCAUUUUGUGUGUUUCCUUUUGGAAAAAUUCAGCUUAAAUGGUGCUUUGGGCAGAAAAAAAACCCAAAAAAAAGACAACAGAGUCUGGUUUUGACCUCAUGUGUCAUUGGUGGCUCUUUAAGCCCUGUGCUUAAACAGAAAAAAAAAGAAAAAAGAAAAAAAAAAAGAAAGAAAAAAAAAAAAUUUUUUUUUCUACCACUGGAGAAAUAUUUUUGGUGGCCCCAUGAAACAAAUCUACCUGGCCUACCCUAGUGCUACCAAAAUAAGAGGCCUCUGCAGUGACCAUGUUCUGCCAAGAGCUACUAAGGCUAAGCAGGAUUUUCUGCACUUUACAAGGGAUGUUGUAGAAAUGCCAGACAAGAACCAUUUCCAAUUCUCCCUUCUGGACUCUCCUGUCAAUCUACAUUAUCAGAUAGGUAUAAAUUGACAGUAAAGGUGCAUGUUUCUCUUGCUUUAAUAAAGUGUCCAAGUUACUGGAUCAUUGAUCUUCCUCUGCAUUUUUCUCAAUGUCUCUUGCAUGAUUAUGAAGAGAUAACGACAAAGAGGUCAAAAUGACUUCAGUAUAAAUUCAGGUUUAAGGUUAUUUGUUAAUAAAACUGAAGUCCUUACUUUGGACAAAAGGGCUAAUAACAUAAACCCACACAGCCAGCACCCUGUACAAAAUGGAAUUACUAAGGGAGGAAAAAACCUAAA